AUUGAACGCUGGCGGCAGGCCUAACACAUGCAAGUCGAACGGUAACAGGAAACCGCUUGCUGUUUCGCUGACGAGUGGCGGACGGGUGAGAAAUGUCUGGGAAACUGCCUGAUGGAGGGGGAUAACUACUGGAAACGGUAGCUAAUACCGCAUAACGUCGCAAGACCAAAGUGGGGGACACUCGGGCCUCUUGCCAUCGGAUUUGCCCCGGUGGGGUUGGCUUGUUGGUGGGGUACCGGCUCACCAAGGCGACGAUCCCUAGCUGGUCUGAGAGGAUGACCAGACACACGGGAACUGAGAGACGGUCCAGACUCCUAGGGGAGGCAGCGGUGGGGAAUAUUGCACAAUGGGCGCAAGCCUGAUGCAGCCAUGCCGCGUGUAUGAAGAAGGCCUUCGGGUUGUAAAGUACUUUCAGCGGGGAGGAAGGGAGUCAAGUUAAUACCUUCGCUCAUUGACGUUACCCGCAGAAGAAGCACCGGCUAACUCCGUG
RNAcentral lists this ribosomal RNA (490 nucleotides) under uncultured bacterium. RNAcentral's name for it is "partial 16S ribosomal RNA". It matches the Rfam family "Bacterial small subunit ribosomal RNA", at positions 30 to 507 of the family's 1533-position model. The record is from RNAcentral.